AGUUUGCUUGCAAACUGGAGAUGGCGACCGGCGCACGGGUGAGUAACACGUAUCCAACCUGCCGAUAACUCGGGGAUAGCCUUUCGAAAGAAAGAUUAAUGCCCGAUGGCAUAAUUAGACCGCAUGGUCUUAUUAUUAAAGAAUUUCGGUUAUCGAUGGGGAUGCGUUCCAUUAGGCAGUUGGUGAGGUAACGGCUCACCAAACCUUCGAUGGAUAGGGGUUCUGAGAGGAAGGUCCCCCACAUUGGAACUGAGACACGGUCCAAACUCCUACGGGAGGCAGCAGUGAGGAAUAUUGGUCAAUGGACGAGAGUCUGAACCAGCCAAGUAGCGUGAAGGAUGACUGCCCUAUGGGUUGUAAACUUCUUUUAUAUGGGAAUAAAGUUUUCCACGUGUGGAAUUUUGUAUGUACCAUAUGAAUAAGGAUCGGCUAACUCCGUGCCAGCAGCCGCGGUAAUACGGAGGAUCCGAGCGUUAUCCGGAUUUAUUGGGUUUAAAGGGAGCGUAGGUGGACAGUUAAGUCAGUUGUGAAAGUUUGCGGCUCAACCGUAAAAUUGCAGUUGAUACUGGCUGUCUUGAGUACAGUAGAGGUGGGCGGAAUUCGUGGUGUAGCGGUGAAAUGCUUAGAUAUCACGAAGAACUCCGAUUGCGAAGGCAGCUCACUGGACUGCAACUGA
RNAcentral lists this ribosomal RNA (676 nucleotides) under uncultured Bacteroidales bacterium. RNAcentral describes it as "bacterial SSU rRNA". It matches the Rfam family "Bacterial small subunit ribosomal RNA", at positions 73 to 743 of the family's 1533-position model. The record is from RNAcentral. Lineage: Bacteria; Pseudomonadati; Bacteroidota; Bacteroidia; Bacteroidales.